GAAAUAAUGGUCCCAAUGCAGUUGAAAAACUCCAAAUUGUUGAGAAGCAACCUUUAAAGGGUGGACCAUUGUUAUUGGCAAAUGAGGCAUUUGAUCGUGGUGCUGGAUGUUAUGAGUCUUGUGACAGCGAAGAGACUGAAGAUGAGUCUGAAAAGGAGGAAGAGGCAGAACCAGAGAAAGAUACUUCGCACCAGGAAAAUGCUUUGGCUGGCAAUGCAAUUUCCAAAAAAAGAAAAGCAUCAGAAAUGCUUCCUAGCUCAAAGAAAAAGAAACACUGUUCUGAUGUUAAGGCGAAGCUUGAUGAGCAGACCAAGAAACAAGAAGAUCUUAC
RNAcentral lists this unclassified non-coding RNA (331 nucleotides) under Hevea brasiliensis (rubber tree). Lineage: Eukaryota; Viridiplantae; Streptophyta; Magnoliopsida; Malpighiales; Euphorbiaceae. The record is from RNAcentral.